Molecule: transfer RNA, 72 nt
Filed under: Ovis aries (sheep)
Lineage: Eukaryota; Metazoa; Chordata; Mammalia; Artiodactyla; Bovidae
Rfam family: tRNA
About the family: Transfer RNA (tRNA) molecules are approximately 80 nucleotides in length.
Source: Rfam by way of RNAcentral
UCACUGGUGGUCCAGUGGUUAGGACGCGGCGCUUUUACUGCCAUGACCCAGGUUCAAUUCUUGGUCAGAGAA